This 534-nucleotide ribosomal RNA is filed under the name uncultured eukaryote. RNAcentral describes it as "bacterial SSU rRNA". It matches the Rfam family "Eukaryotic small subunit ribosomal RNA", at positions 12 to 549 of the family's 1831-position model. The record is from RNAcentral.
UCCUGCCAUUAGUCAUAUGCUUGUCUCAAAAAUUAACCCCUGUUUGUCUAAGUAUAACCAAUCUAUACUGAAAAACUGCAAAGGGCUCAUUAAAUCAUUUAUCUUUUAUUUGAUAGUACCUUACUACUGGGAUAACCGGGGUAAUUCUAGAGCUAAUACUUGCUAAAAACCCCGACUUUUGGAGGGUUGUUUUUAUUAAAUAAAAAACCAAUGCCCUUCGGGGCUCCUUGGUGAUUAAUAAGAACUAAACAAACCGAAUACCCUUGUGCUGGCAAGGGUUCAUUCAAAUUUCUGCCCUACCAACUUUCGAUGGUUAGGUCUUGGCUAACCAUGGUUUCAACGGGUAACGGGGAAUUAGGUUUCUUUUCCGGAAAGUGAGCCUGACAAACGGCUAACACAUCCAAGGAAGGCAGCAGGCCCGCAAAUUACCCAAUCCUGACCCAGGGAGGUAGUGACAAAAAAUAACAAUACCUGGCCUAAUUAGGCCGGGUAAUUGAAAUGAGUACAAUUUAAAUCCCUUAACAAGAAUCAAUU